Molecule: ribosomal RNA, 950 nt
Filed under: uncultured Burkholderia sp.
Lineage: Bacteria; Pseudomonadati; Pseudomonadota; Betaproteobacteria; Burkholderiales; Burkholderiaceae
Description: bacterial SSU rRNA
Rfam family: Bacterial small subunit ribosomal RNA
Source: RNAcentral
AGGGUUUGAUUAUGGCUCAGAUUGAACGCUGGCGGCAUGCCUUACACAUGCAAGUCGAACGGCAGCACGGGGGCAACCCUGGUGGCGAGUGGCGAACGGGUGAGUAAUACAUCGGAACGUGUCCUGUAGUGGGGGAUAGCCCGGCGAAAGCCGGAUUAAUACCGCAUACGCUCUGCGGAGGAAAGCGGGGGCUCCUUCGGGACCUCGCGCUACAGGGGCGGCCGAUGGCAGAUUAGCUAGUUGGUGGGGUAAAGGCCUACCAAGGCGACGAUCUGUAGCUGGUCUGAGAGGACGACCAGCCACACUGGGACUGAGACACGGCCCAGACUCCUACGGGAGGCAGCAGUGGGGAAUUUUGGACAAUGGGCGCAAGCCUGAUCCAGCAAUGCCGCGUGUGUGAAGAAGGCCUUCGGGUUGUAAAGCACUUUUGUCCGGAAAGAAGACCUCAGCCCUAAUACGGCGGGGGGAUGACGGUACCGGAAGAAUAAGCACCGGCUAACUACGUGCCAGCAGCCGCGGUAAUACGUAGGGUGCAAGCGUUAAUCGGAAUUACUGGGCGUAAAGCGUGCGCAGGCGGUCCGCUAAGACAGAUGUGAAAUCCCCGGGCUUAACCUGGGAACUGCAUUUGUGACUGGCGGGCUAGAGUAUGGCAGAGGGGGGUAGAAUUCCACGUGUAGCAGUGAAAUGCGUAGAGAUGUGGAGGAAUACCGAUGGCGAAGGCAGCCCCCUGGGCCAAUACUGACGCUCAUGCACGAAAGCGUGGGGAGCAAACAGGAUUAGAUACCCUGGUAGUCCACGCCCUAAACGAUGUCAACUAGUUGUCGGGCCUUCAUUGGCUUGGUAACGUAGCUAACGCGUGAAGUUGACCGCCUGGGGAGUACGGUCGCAAGAUUAAAACUCAAAGGAAUUGACGGGGACCCGCACAAGCGGUGGAUGAUGUGGAUUAAUUC